RNAcentral lists this long non-coding RNA (1277 nucleotides) under Nicotiana tabacum (common tobacco). Its description in RNAcentral is "long non-coding RNA (NTAB_LNC009646)". Lineage: Eukaryota; Viridiplantae; Streptophyta; Magnoliopsida; Solanales; Solanaceae. The record is from RNAcentral.
CAAAACUAUCCUCACAGUCAGGCCCUCGACCUCCCUCAGUCAUCAAUCUCUCCAGUCUCUCUCUCAUAGGCUCACAAUGUCAUGAAAAUAGCUCGAAAAUGAUGAUAUGAUGUAUCAAUAAAUAACAACAGAGACUGAGAUAUGAUAUGUAGUAAAAUGAAUAUGACUGAGUAUGAAUUUUCAAUUCAAAAUAAAUAAUUCACAGCAAUAUGACCUCUGUGGGUCCCAAUAAUACUGGCAUAUAGCCUCAACAUGAUUUUUAAUAUGAUUCUCAACUCAAUUUCUUUAACACAUAAAACUACAUAAAAAAUGCCAAGAUUAUUUGACUAAAAAAUUUCACGGAACCAAUUACAUCAUAAUUUCUAUAGUGCACGCCCACACGCCCAUCACCUAGCAUGUGCGUCACCUCCAAACAAUUCACAUAAUACGUAUAUUCAGGAUUCAUACCCUCAGCUCCAAGAUUAGAAGAGUUACUUACCUCGAACAAGACGAAUCCAUUGUCGAGCAAGCUAAACAAUGCUCCAGAAAUCCCAUUCUGCACGUAUCAACUUCUGAACGGCUCGAAUCUAGCCGCAAUUAAUUCGAAUCAGUCAAUACCAAUUAUUGUAAUCAAUUCCAUAAGGAAAUACUAAUUUUUCAAUAAAAAUCCGAAAUUAACUCAAACAUCUCCCGUGCGUCCCACAUCUCGGAUCCCGACAAAAGUUACAAAUUAUGAACGCUCAUUCAACCACGAGUCCAACCAUACCAAUUUUAUCAAACUCCGACAUCAACUCAACCCUCAAAUCUUCAAAUUAAAGUCUAUGAAAUUUUCUAUCUUUUCAACCCAAAACACUUAUAUGUUGAAACAAAAACAAUAGAUUCGUAUAAUUUCACCAAAAUUGAGUUAGAAUCACUUACCCCAAUCCAUAUGGUGAAAAUCAUCUUAAAAAUCGCUUCAAUCCGAACUCCAUAGCUCCAAAUGUGUUAAAAUGGCCAAAACCUAAAACAUUUAGCUUUUGUCCAUGCAUUUACUGUUCGCGAUCACGGAAAAUGCUUCGCGAUCGCGAAGCACAAAAAUUUCCAGCCCAAGAUUUUCCUUUUGCGAUCGCAGAAAACCACUCGCGAUCGCGAAGAACAAACUCCCCAACUCUUCCAGACAGCCUCUAGUAUAAUGAUCAUAACAUUUUGUACAUAACUCCAAAUAACAAAUGGUUUGACUUUAUGAGAACUAGACAUCAAUGGCUACAACUUUUAUUUUUGGAUCAUCUCCAAAUUCCUUAUAGAUUGCGAGAUAUAAG